This 497-nucleotide ribosomal RNA is filed under the name uncultured bacterium. RNAcentral's name for it is "partial 16S ribosomal RNA". It matches the Rfam family "Bacterial small subunit ribosomal RNA", at positions 28 to 507 of the family's 1533-position model. The record is from RNAcentral.
GAUGAACGCUGGCGGCGUGCCUAAUACAUGCAAGUCGAGCGAACAGACGAGGAGCUUGCUCCUCUGACGUUAGCGGCGGACGGGUGAGUAACACGUGGAUAACCUACCUAUAAGACUGGGAUAACUUCGGGAAACCGGAGCUAAUACCGGAUAACAUGUUGAACCGCAUGGUUCAACAGUGAAAGACGGUCUUGCUGUCACUUAUAGAUGGAUCCGCGCCGCAUUAGCUAGUUGGUAAGGUAACGGCUUACCAAGGCAACGAUGCGUAGCCGACCUGAGAGGGUGAUCGGCCACACUGGAACUGAGACACGGUCCAGACUCCUACGGGAGGCAGCAGUAGGGAAUCUUCCGCAAUGGGCGAAAUCCUGACGGAGCAACGCCGCGUGAGUGAAGAAGGUCUUCGGAUCGUAAAACUCUGUUAUUAGGGAAGAUCAAAUGUGUAAGUAACUAUGCACGUCUUGACGGUACCUAAUCAGAAAGCCACGGCUAACUACGUG